UGGGUACCUACAGAAGAAGUCCCGGCAAACUCCGUGCCAGCAGCCGCGGUAAUACGGAGGGGGCAAGCGUUGUUCGGAAUUAUUGGGCGUAAAGGGCAUGUAGGCGGUUCGGUAAGUUAAAGGUGAAAUGCCAGGGCUUAACCCUGGAGCUGCUUUUAAUACUGCCAGACUAGAGUCCGGGAGAGGAUAGCGGAAUUCCUAGUGUAGAGGUGAAAUUCGUAGAUAUUAGGAGGAACACCAGUGGCGAAGGC
This 251-nucleotide ribosomal RNA is filed under the name uncultured Anaplasma sp. RNAcentral's name for it is "partial 16S ribosomal RNA". It matches the Rfam family "Bacterial small subunit ribosomal RNA", at positions 472 to 722 of the family's 1533-position model. The record is from RNAcentral. Lineage: Bacteria; Pseudomonadati; Pseudomonadota; Alphaproteobacteria; Rickettsiales; Anaplasmataceae.